AGUGGGGAAUAUUGGACAAUGGGCGAAAGCCUGAUCCAGCAAUGCCGCGUGAGUGAUGAAGGCCUUAGGGUUGUAAAGCUCUUUUACCCGGGAUGAUAAUGACAGUACCGGGAGAAUAAGCUCCGGCUAACUUCGUGCCAGCAGCCGCGGUAAUACGAGGGGAGCUAGCGUUAUUCGGAAUUACUGGGCGUAAAGCGCACGUAGGCGGCUUUGUAAGUUAGAGGUGAAAGCCCGGGGCUCAACUCCGGAAUUGCCUUUAAGACUGCAUCGCUUGAAUCCAGGAGAGGUGAGUGGAAUUCCGAGUGUAGAGGUGAAAUUCGUAGAUAUUCGGAAGAACACCAGUGGCGAAGGCGGCUCACUGGACUGGUAUUGACGCUGAGGUGCGAAAGCGUGGGGAGCAAA
This 402-nucleotide ribosomal RNA is filed under the name Sphingomonas koreensis. RNAcentral describes it as "bacterial SSU rRNA". It matches the Rfam family "Bacterial small subunit ribosomal RNA", at positions 353 to 772 of the family's 1533-position model. RNAcentral also lists the same sequence under 1 other name. The record is from RNAcentral. Lineage: Bacteria; Pseudomonadati; Pseudomonadota; Alphaproteobacteria; Sphingomonadales; Sphingomonadaceae.